Acanthosepion pharaonis is the source of this 85-nucleotide non-coding RNA. The record is from the annotation of a GenBank genome assembly. Lineage: Eukaryota; Metazoa; Mollusca; Cephalopoda; Sepiida; Sepiidae.
GUUCACGUACGAUCACUGAAGUUAAGCAACAUCGAGCCUGGUCAGGACUUAGAUGGGUGACCGCUUGGCAAUACCAGGUGUUGGA